UUGAAAUACCACCCUUUAAUGUUUGAUGUUCUAACGUGGACCCGUAAUCCGGGUUGCGGACAGUGUCUGGUGGGUAGUUUGACUGGGGCGGUCUCCUCCUAAAGAGUAACGGAGGAGCACGAAGGUUGGCUAAUCCUGGUCGGACAUCAGGAGGUUAGUGCAAUGGCAUAAGCCAGCUUGACUGCGAGCGUGACGGCGCGAGCAGGUGCGAAAGCAGGUCAUAGUGAUCCGGUGGUUCUGAAUGGAAGGGCCAUCGCUCAACGGAUAAAAGGUACUCCGGGGAUAACAGGCUGAUACCGCCCAAGAGUUCAUAUCGACGGCGGUGUUUGGCACCUCGAUGUCGGCUCAUCACAUCCUGGGGCUGAAGUAGGUCCCAAGGGUAUGGCUGUUCGCCAUUUAAAGUGGUACGCGAGCUGGGUUUAGAACGUCGUGAGACAGUUCGGUCCCUAUCUGCCGUGGGCGCUGGAGAACUGAGGGGGGCUGCUCCUAGUACGAGAGGACCGGAGUGGACGCAUCACUGGUGUUCGGGUUGUCAUGCCAAUGGCACUGCCCGGUAGCUAAAUGCGGAAGAGAUAAGUGCUGAAAGCAUCUAAGCACGAAACUUGCCCCGAGA
Molecule: ribosomal RNA, 613 nt
Filed under: Salmonella enterica subsp. enterica serovar Amager
Lineage: Bacteria; Pseudomonadati; Pseudomonadota; Gammaproteobacteria; Enterobacterales; Enterobacteriaceae
Description: partial 23S ribosomal RNA
Rfam family: Bacterial large subunit ribosomal RNA
Source: RNAcentral